GAUGAACGCUGGCGGCGUGCCUAAUACAUGCAAGUCGAGCGGACAGACGAGGAGAUUGUUCUUUUGACGUUAGCGGGGGACGGGCGAGUAACACGUGGAUCACCUACUUAUAUGUCUGGGAUAACUACGGGAAACAGGAGAUAAUACUGGAGAAUAUAUCGUACCGCUUGGUGCAAUAGAGCAAGGCGGCUUUGGUGUUACAUUUAGCUGGAUCCGGGCUGGAUUGGCUAGUUGGUAAGGUCACGGCCAACCAAGGCGACGAUGCGUAGCCGACCUGAGAGGGUGAUCGGCCACACUGGAACUGAGACACGGUCCAGACUCCUACGGGAGGCAGCAGUGGGGAAUGUUCCACAAUGGGCGAAAGCCUGACCCAGCAACGCCGCGUGGGUGAUGAAGGCCUUCGGAUCGUAAAGCCCUUUUGUUGGGAAAGAAAAGAUGUAGAAUAAACUAUGGACGUCCUGACGGUACCUAAACAAAAAGCCACGGCUAACUACGUG
RNAcentral lists this ribosomal RNA (497 nucleotides) under uncultured bacterium. RNAcentral describes it as "partial 16S ribosomal RNA". It matches the Rfam family "Bacterial small subunit ribosomal RNA", at positions 28 to 507 of the family's 1533-position model. The record is from RNAcentral.